CCUGGUGACAAUAGCUUUGUGGAACCACCCGAUCCCAUUCCGAACUCGGAAGUGAAACGCAAACGCGCCGAUGGUAGUGUGGGGUCUCCCCAUGUGAGAGUAGGUCAUCGCCAAGC
RNAcentral lists this ribosomal RNA (116 nucleotides) under Shewanella sp. The record is from RNAcentral. Lineage: Bacteria; Pseudomonadati; Pseudomonadota; Gammaproteobacteria; Alteromonadales; Shewanellaceae.